AAUAUUGGCCCAAUGGGCGGAAGCCUGAUGCACGCAUGCCGGGUGCAGCAAGACCGCCCUAUGGAUGUAAACCCUAUUGGGCGGUAAGACUAAGGGAUAAGUGUAUAAGGUGGCGGUCCUUAAAGAUAAGGCCCGGCUACUUCGCGCAGCCGCCGGCGUUAUUCGGAGGGUCGGAGGGUUAUCCGGAAUUCUUGGGUUUAAAAGGUUCGCAGGCGGGCAUUUUAGUUAUAGUAGAAAAGGUGGAGGUCAAACGUAGAAAUGCUACUGAUAAUGGAUAUCUGAGUCAUAGUAGGGUGAACGGAAUAUGUCGUGUAGCGGUGAAAAGCAUAAAAUUUGGAAGAACCCCGAUCGGGAAGGCAGGUUUCUAGCCAAUACUGACACUAUGGACAAAGCUGGGGGGAAAACGCGUUGGAUUCCCCAGUGACCCUCCUGA
This 433-nucleotide ribosomal RNA is filed under the name uncultured marine bacterium. RNAcentral describes it as "bacterial SSU rRNA". It matches the Rfam family "Bacterial small subunit ribosomal RNA", at positions 359 to 801 of the family's 1533-position model. The record is from RNAcentral.